AGCAGCCGCGGUAAUUCCAGCUCCAAUAGCGUAUAUUAAAGUUGUUGCAGUUAAAAAGCUCGUAGUUGAAUUUCGAGAUCAAAUUGUUGGUCGUGCCUCGGUACGUACUGGUAAUUUUGGUUUCUCCCUUCUGAAGAACCAUGAUGUCAUUAAUUUGGUGUCUUGGGGAAUCAGGACUGUUACUUUGAAAAAAUUAGAGUGUUUAAAGCAGGCUCGCGCUUGAAUACAUUAGCAUGGAAUAAUGAAAUAGGACGUUUGAUUCUAUUUUGUUGGUUUCUAGGAUCGACGUAAUGAUUAAUAGGGAUAGUUGGGGGCAUUAGUAUUCAAUUGUCAGAGGUGAAAUUCUUGGAUUUAUUGAAGACUAACUACUGCGAAAGCAUUUGCCAAGGAUGUUUUCAUUAAUCAAGAACGAAAGUUAGGGAUCGAAGACGAUCAGAUACCGUCGUAGUCUUAACCAUAAACUAUGACCGACUAGGGAUCGGAUGAUGUUAUUUUUAAUGUACUUCAUUCGGCGCCUUAC
Molecule: ribosomal RNA, 520 nt
Filed under: uncultured Glomus
Lineage: Eukaryota; Fungi; Glomeromycota; Glomeromycetes; Glomerales; Glomeraceae
Description: SSU rRNA
Rfam family: Eukaryotic small subunit ribosomal RNA
Source: RNAcentral